AGUGAACGCUGGCGGUAGGCCUAACACAUGCAAGUAGAACGGCAGCACAGUAAGAGCUUGCUCUUACGGGUGGCGAGUGGCGGACGGGUGAGGAAUACAUCGGAAUCUACUUUUUCGUGGGGGAUAACGUAGGGAAACUUACGCUAAUACCGCAUACGACCUACGGGUGAAAGCAGGGGAUCUUCGGACCUUUCGCGAUUGAAUGAGCCGAUGUCGGAUUAGCUAGUUGGCGGGGUAAAGGCCCACCAAGGCGACGAUCCGUAGCUGGUCUGAGAGGAUGAUCAGCCACACUGGAACUGAGACACGGUCCAGACUCCUACGGGAGGCAGCAGUGGGGAAUAUUGGACAAUGGGCGCAAGCCUGAUCCAGCCAUGCCGCGUGGGUGAAGAAGGCCUUCGGGUUGUAAAGCCCUUUUGUUGGGAAAGAAAAGCAGCAGGUUAAUACCCCGCUGUUCUGACGGUACCCAAAGAAUAAGCACCGGCUAACUUCGUG
RNAcentral lists this ribosomal RNA (492 nucleotides) under uncultured bacterium. RNAcentral describes it as "partial 16S ribosomal RNA". It matches the Rfam family "Bacterial small subunit ribosomal RNA", at positions 29 to 507 of the family's 1533-position model. The record is from RNAcentral.